This 240-nucleotide small RNA is filed under the name marine eukaryotic metagenome. RNAcentral describes it as "5' ureB small RNA". It matches the Rfam family "5' ureB small RNA", at positions 9 to 247 of the family's 292-position model. The record is from RNAcentral.
AAUCUGCUGGGGGCAUAUGAAGUGGAUAUGUGUGUCGAUGCCGCCCGCCGUGAGGAUUUUCCCCUCGCCGGCGAGCACCUCGGUGGAUGCGCCUACAACCAUCGAUUUGUCCACGCCGUCCAUCAAGUGGGGGUUGCCGGAUUUUCCGAUGCCGACGAUUUUUCCGUCCUUGAUUCCGACAUCCGCCUUAACGAUUCCCCAGUGGUCGAGAAUAAGCGCGUUCGUAAUAAGCAAAUCGAG